GGCGAGGUAGCUCAGCCUGGUUAGAGCGCUAGACUCAUAUGCAUAGCAUUAUGAGUGAUGAGCUUUUAUAGCGAUGACGAGAAAUCUAGAGGUCGUGGGUCCAAAUCCCGCCCUCGCCA
The sequence is a transfer RNA, 119 nucleotides long. It matches the Rfam family "tRNA". Rfam says of the family: Transfer RNA (tRNA) molecules are approximately 80 nucleotides in length. The record is from Rfam.